RNAcentral lists this ribosomal RNA (252 nucleotides) under uncultured bacterium. RNAcentral's name for it is "partial 16S ribosomal RNA". It matches the Rfam family "Bacterial small subunit ribosomal RNA", at positions 795 to 1052 of the family's 1533-position model. The record is from RNAcentral.
CCAUGCCGUAAACGAUGAGCACUAGGUGUCGGGCAAAAGCUCGGUGCCGGCGUAAACACAAUAAGUGCUCCGCCUGGGGAGUACGUUCGCAAGAAUAAAACUCAAAGGAAUUGACGGGGACCCGCACAAGUAGCGGAGCAUGUGGUUUAAUUCGAAGCAACGCGAAGAACCUUACCGGGGCUUGACAUAUAUCUGACCCUCUUAGAGAUAAGAACUUUCUUCGGAACAGAUAUACAGGUGGUGCAUGGUUGU